AGCAGCAUGGCUCAGUGGAAAGAGCCCGGGCUUGGGAGGCAGAGGUCGUGGGUUCGAAUCCCGUUUCUGCCC
Molecule: transfer RNA, 72 nt
Filed under: Ornithorhynchus anatinus (platypus)
Lineage: Eukaryota; Metazoa; Chordata; Mammalia; Monotremata; Ornithorhynchidae
Rfam family: tRNA
About the family: Transfer RNA (tRNA) molecules are approximately 80 nucleotides in length. Their secondary structure includes four short double-helical elements and three loops (D, anti-codon, and T loops).
Source: Rfam by way of RNAcentral